UUAAAGAGUUUCCCAAGUUCAAUUAAUACAAUAUUAUAAACAUACAAAUGUAAUAAAAAUUAUUGUUCGCGAAUAUUCAAUUUGGAAUGCGAUUUUGUUAAUAAAAAAAAUACUUAUAACUUAUGCAAAACCCAAGAGAGGCAUUUAUAUUUAUUUCUUUUGCGUUCAUUUUCAAAUUCGCCGUGCAUAUAUUUUUGUGCAUGGCGCUUGAGAGGGCAUCACGUGACUAAAAACGACCAACCAACGACCUCGCUUCGGCCAUCUUGGCAUCUUCAUCUUGGCCACCUUGCUUUGCCGUGGGUGGAUCGUUGUUUGUAUUAUUUGUGCUUUUUAAGAAUAUUUUUUUAAUUCGGAUACUUUUAUAAUAGCUUUAAUAGUAUUAUUAACAUAGUGAAUAAAAUGGUGUCCUGUUUUUAACGCAGUUGGAGUAGCAGAAACAAAUGUAGAUAAAAAAAUCUGCAUGAAUAACGUUUCAAUUAUGACAGAAGCUCCAAACAAAUGACUGUGAAUGAAAAGCUCUAUUAAAAGCUUUCCAGAAGAUCCUGCGAAGAAGACAUGAAGUAUAGAUCAGAUUUGUUAAUAGAGGAGUAUGUUCAAAACACUUUUUAGAAAAAGAUAUUGACAGAACUUCACUUUCAUCUGUUCAUUUAAGAGACUGUGCUGUUCCAAUAGCUUAUGUCACACAGAAUCAGCUGAGAGAAGUGGUCUACAAAAAAACAGACAGGAAACGGAAUAUGUGGCUACGAAAAGCAAAAGAAAGGUUUACAAAGCAAAUGUGACACAUUUUUUUAUAAUAUUUAGGAAUGUCAGUAAAUUACAUUAAAAAAUGUAUGUAAAGAUUUUUUGCAAUAAAAAUGUUUAUAUUUAUCAA
Diabrotica virgifera virgifera (western corn rootworm) is the source of this 871-nucleotide long non-coding RNA. RefSeq lists it as uncharacterized. NCBI's taxonomy places the organism in Eukaryota, Metazoa, Arthropoda, Insecta, Coleoptera, Chrysomelidae. The transcript has 3 exons. The record is from RefSeq and is a predicted model, not a curated record.